CGCAUCUGUGCAUGCAGCAUAUCAAUAAGCGGAGGAAAAGGAACUAACAAGGAUUCCCCUAGUAACGGCGAGUGAAGCGGGAAGAGCUCAAAUUUGAAAUCUUAAAGGGUUUCCCUUUACGAAUUGUAGUUUAAAGAAGUGUUUUCUGUUGAGGUUUUGGUAAAAGUUCUUUGGAAUAGGACAUCAUAGAGGGUGAGAAUCCCGUAUUUGACCUUUACUUUCAACUUUGUGAUACACUUUCAAAGAGUCGGAUUGUUUGGGAAUGCAGUCCAAAAUGGGUGGUAAAUUUCAUCUAAAGCUAAAUAUUGGCGGGAGACCGAUAGCGAACAAGUACCGUGAGGGAAAGAUGAAAAGAACUUUGAAAAGAGAGUUAAACAGUACGUGAAAUUGUCAAAAGGGAAGCGUUUGACACCAGUGUUGUUUUUCUGAAAAUCAAUUAAAGAACUGUUUAUGCUAAGUUGUUUAGACUUUAUCAGCUAACUGUUUAGUUUUGAGCUUUUCUUUAAUGCACUUUUCAGUUAACAAGUCAACAUCAAUUUCUUUUGCUGUAAAAAAGCUUGAGGAAGGUGGCUUGAGAUUCGUCUUAAGUGUUUAUAGCCUCUUGCCUAUGCAGUCGGAGAGAUUGAGGUCUGCAGCGUAGAUCCUUCGGGGCUAAAUGCAUUUGUGCUAAGUUAUAGCAUUUUAUAGACAACUUGUUGACUAUGAUUUGUCUUGUAGCUUACUCGCUUAUGUUAUUUUACCUACGCUUAGGAUGUUGAACGCGCACAGAGUCUC
Molecule: ribosomal RNA, 774 nt
Filed under: uncultured Neocallimastigales
Lineage: Eukaryota; Fungi; Neocallimastigomycota; Neocallimastigomycetes; Neocallimastigales
Description: partial large subunit ribosomal RNA
Rfam family: Eukaryotic large subunit ribosomal RNA
Source: RNAcentral